RNAcentral lists this ribosomal RNA (253 nucleotides) under uncultured bacterium. Its description in RNAcentral is "partial 16S ribosomal RNA". It matches the Rfam family "Bacterial small subunit ribosomal RNA", at positions 524 to 776 of the family's 1533-position model. The record is from RNAcentral.
UACGAAGGGGGCGAGCGUUGUUCGGAAUUACUGGGCGUAAAGGGCGCGCAGGCGGCUCGACAAGUCAGAUGUGAAAGCCCCGGGCUCAACCUGGGAACGGCAUUUGGGACUGUCGGGCUAGAGUUCGGGAGAGGUGGGUGGAAUUCCCAGUGUAGAGGUGAAGUUCGUAGAUAUUGGGAAGAACACCGGUGGCGAAGGCGGCUCACUGGACCGAGACUGACGCUGAGGCGCGAAAGCGUGGGGAGCAAACAGG